UACGUAGGGUGCGAGCGUUGUCCGGAAUUAUUGGGCGUAAAGAGCUCGUAGGCGGCCUGUCGCGUCGGAUGUGAAAGCCCGGGGCUUAACCCCGGGUCUGCAUUCGAUACGGGCAGGCUAGAGUGUGGUAGGGGAGAUCGGAAUUCCUGGUGUAGCGGUGAAAUGCGCAGAUAUCAGGAGGAACACCAAUAGCGAAGGCAGCUCGCUGGGACGGUAUUGACGCUGAGGCGCGAAAGCGUGGGGAGCAAACAGG
Molecule: ribosomal RNA, 253 nt
Filed under: uncultured bacterium
Lineage: Bacteria
Description: partial 16S ribosomal RNA
Rfam family: Bacterial small subunit ribosomal RNA
Source: RNAcentral